CGUGAGCGGCGGACGGGUGAGUAACGCGUGGGUAACCUGCCUCAUACAGGGGGAUAACAGUUGGAAACGGCUGCUAAUACCGCAUAAGCGCACAGUACCGCAUGGUACGGUGUGAAAAACUCCGGUGGUAUGAGAUGGACCCGCGUCUGAUUAAGUAGUUGGUGGGGUAACGGCCUACCAAGCCGACGAUCAGUAGCCGACCUGAGAGGGUGACCGGCCACAUUGGGACUGAGACACGGCCCAA
This 244-nucleotide ribosomal RNA is filed under the name uncultured bacterium. Its description in RNAcentral is "partial 16S ribosomal RNA". It matches the Rfam family "Bacterial small subunit ribosomal RNA", at positions 90 to 334 of the family's 1533-position model. The record is from RNAcentral.